This 460-nucleotide ribosomal RNA is filed under the name uncultured bacterium. RNAcentral describes it as "partial 16S ribosomal RNA". It matches the Rfam family "Bacterial small subunit ribosomal RNA", at positions 338 to 795 of the family's 1533-position model. The record is from RNAcentral.
CCUACGGGUGGCAGCAGUGAGGAAUAUUGGUCAAUGGACGAGAGUCUGAACCAGCCAAGUCGCGUGAAGGAUGACUGCCCUAUGGGUUGUAAACUUCUUUUAUAUGGGAAUAAAAUGUUCCACGUGUGGGAUUUUGUAUGUACCAUAUGAAUAAGGAUCGGCUAACUCCGUGCCAGCAGCCGCGGUAAUACGGAGGAUCCGAGCGUUAUCCGGCUUUAUUGGGUUUAAAGGGAGCGUAGGUGGAUUGUUAAGUCAGUUGUGAAAGUUUGCGGCUCAACCGUAAAAUGGCAGUUGAAACUGGCAGUCUUGAGUACAGUAGAAGUGGGCGGAAUUCGUGGUGUAGCGGUGAAAUGCUUAGAUAUCACGAAGAACUCCGAUUGCGAAGGCAGUUCACUGGACUGCAACUGACACUGAGGCUCGAAAGUGUGGGUAUCAAACAGGAUUAGAUACCCUAGUAGUC